AGAGUUUGAUCCUGGCUCAGGAUGAACGCUAGCUACAGGCUUAACACAUGCAAGUCGAGGGGAAACGACAUCGAAAGCUUGCUUUUGAUGGGCGUCGACCGGCGCACGGGUGAGUAACGCGUAUCCAACCUGCCCACCACUUGGGGAUAACCUUGCGAAAGUAAGACUAAUACCCAAUGACGUCUCUAGAAGACAUCUGAAAGAGAUUAAAGAUUUAUCGGUGAUGGAUGGGGAUGCGUCUGAUUAGCUUGUUGGCGGGGUAACGGCCACCAAGGCGACGGAUCAGUAGGGGUUCUGGAGAGGAGGGUCCCCCACACUUGGAACUGAGACACGGUCCAAACUCCUACGGGAGACA
This 355-nucleotide ribosomal RNA is filed under the name uncultured bacterium. RNAcentral's name for it is "bacterial SSU rRNA". It matches the Rfam family "Bacterial small subunit ribosomal RNA", at positions 8 to 350 of the family's 1533-position model. The record is from RNAcentral.